AAAUACCUUCCUCGACAAAUUUGCAAGGAUUUUGAACGUGAUCAUGGAGUUCAAUUGACUUAUAACCAAGCAUGGUAUCUUAAAGAGAAGGCAAAAGAGCGUGUAUAUGGAUCUCCACGUGCGUCCUAUGCGUAUUUGCCUUGGUUAUGCCAUAGGCUAAGGGAAAUUAACCCUGGAACUAUUGCCGAGUACACUUCUCAUGAAGGUCAUUUCAAGCAAUUGUUCAUUGGCCACGCAUUUUCAAUUCAAGGGUUCACCAUGGGGUGUCGACUGGUAUUGGCUAUUGAUUCUUGCCACCUAAGUGGUCCAUACAAAGGAGCUCUUUUGUCUGCCAUUGCAUAUGAUGCAGAUGAUGGAAUGUUCCCUCUAGCCUUGGGUGUGGUUGGUUCAGAAAAUUAUGAGGAUUGGUAUUGGUUCUUGGAGAAAUUGAAGGGGAUCCUAGAUGAUCAAGAAGUAAUUAUUAUAUCAGAUAGACAUCAAGGGAUAUUGCGUAAUGUUUCGGAGUUGUUUGGGGUAGAAAAUCACGCCUAUUGUUAUCGACAUGUGAAAGAGAACUUUUCAAGCUUCUUCAACAGGCAAAACAUUAGGGGAAAGAAAGGGAAAGAAGAUGCUUUGUUGCUUUUAGACAACAUUGCAUAUGCUCGGUUGGAUAUAGACUACAAUAAGGCGUUUGAAAAACUUGUGCGUUUUAAUGGCGACCUAGCAAGGUGGGUUGCGGAGAAUAGUCCGGAGCAUUGGGCGAUGUCAAAGUUCCUUAAAAAACGUUGGGAUAAAAUGACAACUAAUAUUGCAGAGUCCUUCAAUGCGUGGUUAAGAGAGGAACGCCACCAAACAAUUUAUACGUUGCUGAUGAUGCACAUGGAUAAGCUUGUAGCCAUGUUGGACACCCAUAUGCGUGGUACAGAUAAGUGGAAGAGCGUGGUUGGACCCAAAACAGAGGAAAAGCUAAUGUCAAAUAUCACGAGAUCUGCUCCGAUUACUGUGAUGCCUUAUUUGGGUGGGACGUUCAAGGUUUUUACUAGAGAAGUUUAUUUGGUUGUGGAUAUGCAGCAACAUAAGUGUACAUGUCUAACAUGGCAAAUGUCCGGGUUGCCAUGUCCACAUGUAUGUGCUGUGAUCCGUACAUUGAGACACGAUGUGUAUGACUAUAUCGACCCAUGUUUUAAAGUCUCCACCCAACAGUUGAUUUACUCGGGUUAGUUUCAACCAUUACCAACACACAACAUGCCUAAAGUUUGUGAGGCUGGGACUUUGUAAGAUGGCCAAGGCAACGUAUUUCCUAGUCUCCAACCCCCGCAAGUGAGACGUCCUCCAGGAAGACCCCGACAAAGGCGUAUUGAGUCACAGUUUAGCCAUAAGAGAGCUAUUCAUUGCUCUCGAUGCAAUGGCAUAGGUCACAAUCGGUCUAAAUGUAAUAAUCCAUUGCCGUGACAUGUUCAUUUCUUUGCUUGUAAGGUUUUCAUUUUGUGUACGAUCCCUCAUUGUUCCAUUAUUUGCUUUAUGGUCAUAGGGUUGUUGCUUUUGGAUGUUAUGUAUUGUCCUUAUUAUAGUCACGAUGCACUACCUUUUCAUUUUAUUUUUUAUAAGACUACUUUUUAAUUUUCAUGAUUUGGAGUUGCUUUCAUUACUGAUUUAAUUUGAAAUUGCAGUUUCAAUGUGGUAUCCUUUAACUUGAUGUAUACUUUCACUUCCCUAUUUUAAGUAUGUCCUACUCACAUCAUUGGAUGCGUGCAUUUUUCUUAUCACUUAGCUGAACUUUCAUAGUAUUGUACUAUACUUGCUGUCUAGUUAUUCAGUUGGUCAGUUUAUCUGUGCAUUGCAUUCUACUUUUCUAUGCCCAAUGAUGUAGUUAUAAUAUUAACAAUGGCUGGUAAUGGCUUAGAUGGUUCUGCUGCCAGUUCACUCCCACUCUCGGUAUGGUUCAUCAUACUUGCUUAUCUUUGUUGUUUUUUGCAUUCUUCCGUUGCCAACAUACUAUUUGAGAGGUUUUCGCUUCUCUAGUACAGUGCCACAAGAACUUAUAAUCUAUAGUCAUGCAAUUUUAAUGUAUUGUCAGAACAUAAAUCAGAAUGCAUGUUGGUAUCAAAAUGGGUGAAAUUUCAUUUUAUGAUAUUUUACAUAUUUGAAUUGGUGUGAACAAAUUACUCCCUUAUUUAUAUAUAAUCUGAAAUCAUUUUAUGAAAUUUUCAUUUUCAGAUACCUUUUAAGUUAGUAUAUAUAUAUAUAUUAUGCAUGAAAUUUAAGUGAUUUCUUCAUGUCCCUUAUUAUAGUUACCAUGUAUCAGUUAUGUUGGAAAGUUCUCUAAUAUUGAAGUUUUAACAAUUCAACGUUUAUUUAUUAAAUACUAUUAUAUCAGCUUUGUAAGUUGUCAGGUAAUAUUUGUGUUCAAUUUGGUAAUAUAGAAAAUGUGGUUCACUAACACCAUAUACAAUUAUGCUUUAGGGAUCUAAUGGUCUUCGCUAUACAGCUGUGGGGAUAGGCAAAAACCAUGUCCUCUAGGAUGAGGGAGGAGGGUAGAGGAAGGGAUAAAGAGAGGUGUUCUGGUAGGAAUGGUGAUGGGGAUGGGAUUAACUCUUUAGCCACUUGAGUUAUAGGUAACCCUUACCUCUGUAGCCACUUUAGCCACGUCCCUAGGGUAAAAUGAUCACAAUUAUUUAUGGGGACCUCAAUGGUAUUGAGACAUUAGGCUUCUUUUUGCUUCACUUUCUAAGUGAUUUAAAUAUGAAGGUGGAGAGCCAUGCCUUGCCAAUUUCUCAGUGCCUUGGACUCUGGACAUACCUUUUUUUCGGGUGGCAAAUUCUGUAUUAUUUUUUGUUUGUAAGAUUCAAACAAUUGACUUAAGCAAGGUGCAUAGCUCUCUAGACACUUCAUAUACCAGUAUUUUGAACCAGUUACAGAAAUUCAAUUACGGUCAUUCACGCACUGACCAAGCAAACUGAUGUGGCAAACUUGUACCCAAUGUGGCUUUUGCCAGGAGCAGUACGGACAUUUAAAAUUGCUCAUGUAUAUCUUCUUGCAGAAUCCUUACAACAAUGAAAAUACUUCUAUAAGUUAACAGAAAAAAAAAAACAUAAAGUCAUAGCACAUAACUUUUAUUCUCCAACAUAAAGUAUGGUUUCCAAACUCCUCUUCAUUCAUUUAAUUCUCCAACACUCAUGGAUUCAUCUUAUUUAUUCUUGUUUUCAAGCGUAAACAUACUCUUUGUUUACUAUUCUACAAAAAAGUAUGUAGUAGCAUUUCAUAGUGUAUCAUUACCUUAUUUUAAAUGCCCACUUCCUCUUUUCUGCAAAUUUUAGAUUAUUAUGCCCAUUGAAUCAGAUUCAAGCCUCAAAACUUUCACAAGUUUAGAUUAAUAGUCCUAGAUUUCAUUUAUUUUCCCAUGAAUCCUCACUCAGCUAACAACUUAGGUAUGAAUGAACUUUGGUCAAACACAUGAUUCGUGGUAUCAAAUGAUAGUGUACAAUUCUUCAAUGAUAGUUAGUACCAUGUGGGAAUACUCUCAACAGAAACUUGGAUUCCAAACCUUGUCCAUGUUCAAAAGGAGCAGGUUAAAUAGGAUUAUUCAUUGAUUUGUUGAUGGUUUCUUUCUCUAAUAUAAUUAGUCAAUUUAUUUCCAUAAAUUGAUUUGAUUUCUUUCUUUUAUAUAUCAUGUAGUAUUCUCAUAUUUAUUUUUUUCUUUUAUAGUCUAUUCUGUACAUUUUUACUGUUAUUGCCUAUUCUAUAUAGCCUUAUUCAUAAAUUUUCAAUCCUCCCUCUUACAGGAUAUCUCACUGUUAGUAGCACCCAACCCCAUCUAAUGUCUUACCCUGCUGUAUAUUAUUUCUAAAUACAAGUAGACAAAUCUUUGUAACUUUGAGAAAUGAUAGCUUUACUUUUUCACUUAUUUUAUUGCAUUACCAACUGCAAGAAUGUUGCUAUUCCUAACAUGUCCAUGUUUUCAAACAUUGCAUGCAGGGCACAUCAAUGUUUACACGAUGCUCAGCUGCAAGAUUUAAGAAACUGUGCAAUCGAUUACCAGAGGCAAAAAUUCAAGCCAUAAGAGACCUCCAAUUUGAAGGUCUCUUAAACUUAAACUGCACAGAGGUGCGCCACAACCUCUGUAUCUUUCUAAUCCAACAUUUCAAUGUUGGAUUUAGACGGAUAGAGUUCUCAGCCCAGAAACACUAUCCUGUUACAGCCACCGAUGUUGGCCUCAUUUUCGGCCUCCCAACAGAAGGACGGAAUUUGUAGGUGACCUCUACAUCAUCAGAUCAUCCAUUUGGGACUAUUCGGGCAUGCGAGGAGAAACUCCUAGACUUACCUGUAGGCGAGGAGUUCUGUAGAGCAUUCAUUUACUACGCAUGUGCCACAUUGUUGGCCCCCACAUCUAGGCUCAAUGGUUGCCGUAACUUGUGGCAUACCAUCCAUGAGGAUGGAUUCCGAAAUGACGUUAAUUGGGCCCAGUUUGUGCUUGACCAACUGGUUGAGGGAAUUAGGCGAUACCAACAAUCUAAGACCUCUUGGGUACAUGGCUGCGUUUUAUUUCUUCAGGUAGUGAACUUAUUCAGUCUUUGUCUUCCAUUUUGUUAUAUAAUUUUAUUGCACAACAUAUUCACAUUUGCCUACUGAUGUUUCUAUUUAUUUUGCAGCUGCAUUAUGUCAUUAAAUUCCAAAUUCCUUCAGUCCAAGUCCCCAUUACAGUGCCCCCAGCAUUGGCAUGGACUGAUGAUUUGAUUAAGCGAUGACUAGUCGCUGAGAUAAAGGAGUUUGGAGCAUUCGGACAUGCUGAGAUUUAUUUUGUAAGUUAUGCAUGCAUAAAUAUAUUGUCAUUACUAGCAUAACACUCAUUAUUUAAGUACUAAUCUUCAGUGCUAAUUAUAGGCGUCCCAGAGAUCUCCAACCGUAGAGAGAACUAUGGAGCCAGAGACUAAUGUGGACCAUGACACAAAUGUUGAUGCUGAAAAUAGUGAUGUAAGCUGUGAAUUUUUCAAAAACUUAAUAAAUGUUCAUUUCAUUGUCAUUGUAAUUUAUUUUUACUUCUUAACUACAAAGAAAUAUGUUGUUGUCACAUUUUAUUCUCAAAGAUUGACAUCAAUAUCAUGUCAUAGGAAAUAUGGCAUCAAUAUCAUGAUGCAGAACGAGCAAUCGACCAAUAUCAACGGGGCAUUCAGCAGCAGCUGAGAAUAAUGCGUGGCCUUAUGCAUAAGUUAGGGACUCGCAGACAUAGUGGGGUAAAUUCAGAUGCGGGUGGUCACUCUAGCUAUGCACCAGCCAGCACUCCCACAGUCGAUGACCAUGCAUUUCCUGGUGAUGAGUACAUGGCUUCGCAUGCUGCAUACCAUGUGCUAGACACACCAGAUCGCGUUGUCGCCCCUGAGUAUGAGUUGCAGCCCAGUGUACCCAUUAAUGUAGUAAGCGGUAAGUGAUACAAUUUAUGCAAACACCCAUAUGGUUAACAACCCAAGUACCCAAUCAUAAUGUAUACCUUUGUUGACUAGUUCUAAAUCUCGUAUUGCAGAUGGUGAAGAACAACCAGAAGGUAAUGUUGUCCCCACAAAUAGAAACGUCCGGAGACGCCGAGUGCGUCGAAUGGCUCCAAACCUGUUGUCCCCAUACAUAUCCCAACCACAAACGAAACAAUCUGCCAUCAAAAUCGACCUAAAACAAGGAGCUGCACUGGUAUUUGGAGACGAUUUGGAUGCAAGGUAACAUACUUGAGUGACACUCCUCUCAUUGUAUGAUAGUGAAAACACAAAAACUAAAUUGUAUUUUUUUGUAACAGUGAGGAACUAGUGUCUAUGCAUGACACUAUCCUAACCAGAGGCAAUUUGGGUUGCUUCGAAGGGAAUGGGUGGAUAGGAAACGACGUGCAUAUCAUUUCUUAUCCCUCUUUAUGCAUUAUUUUAAGUUUGAAAAUGAAAGUGUGGUUCUAAUAUAAUUUGUUGCUUACACUUUUAUGAUAUACGAAAUCAGGUCGUCGAUGCCUACUGUAGAUUGUUGCAGUAUCAACAUGAACCGAAGUCGAAACUUUUUCUAUCCCCCUACAUAGCUGUAAUGAUGACUAUUCCAUUAAAUCCUUGCUUAUCUUUAUUUUUUGUCUUGAACCAGGCAUCACCUACAAUGACAAACCUGAUAUUAUCCCGUAUUUGACAUGCAGGAAAUGGUAAUCCACUCCCAAGCAAAACACUUAGUGAGGGAGGCAGUUAUUGGACGCUUUGAACCACAUCUGUAUCAGAUUGAUAUUCCAUAUGUCAAUGUUAACGAGGUGGAUUCCUAUGUUUAAUGCUUGGAUUUGUAUUUUUAUUGCAUGAAUGUACAAUAUUUAGAUGUAUGUUUAAUGGCAGUCUAUUGGUGCAGGUCUUCUUACCGGUUCUCAUAAAGAACCAUUGGACAUUGUAUGUAUAUGACCUAGAAAACAGGAGAAUCCAACUGCUAGAUUCUCGUCCUGGUAGAAAGAAGACAAUGUUGAGUGGAGUUCAACAAAAUCUGGUAAAGUAACAAGCAACAAGUAAUAAUUUGUUAGGUAUGUCUUCCCAUAAAAAUUUCAAUUGUUGCGUUAAUAAAUGUUUCAGGCCAAGGUUGUCCUGUGGUUGGCUGCCCACAAAAAAGAGGUAUCACCUUAUGAUUUGAGGACAUUCAAUUUCAUAACACCUGAUGUACCCCUCCAAACUAAUGAGUGAGUGUUGACCUUGCAGUCCGGGAUAUUGUAUAGGAUUGCAAUUUAUUUGAAGUUCAUCUCUUAUUUAUAAUUCCACACUUAAUAACGUUUUGGUAAUUAUAUUGACAUAGGCAAGAUUGCGGAGUUUUUGUAAUGAAAUUCAUGGAAUUGUGGUCAAUGGGGGGGGGGGGGGUUCUCCAAAUCAAUCGAUGUGGUACGUAGGAGGAAUUAUCUAUGACUAUCUCAUUAUUGUUAAAAUAGUUAGAAAAGCCUAAUUAAUUAAUUUGCUGAUUUGUUGCUAUCAACGUGAAUGAACGCAAGGGAAAUUGAAACAUUAUAGGUUGAAGAUCAUGGGGAGUAUGUUGUUCUCAGCACAAAAUGCACACCGAGACCGUGUUCGGAGAGAUUAAAGGGGAUUGUAAUUUGUGAUAAGACUGUAUAAAGUUAGCACAUUUGUAUGUAAUUUAUGGUGGACAAAUGUAGUUAUUUAUUUAUUUAUUUUUGGUGCCAUAUGCGGAAAUGAACACUGGGAUUAUGGGAUUAGUCAGAGUUUGAUUGUUUUUUGACUUAAGUUGAUUGUCAUUGCAUUGUAAGUAAAUAGGGAGAAUUAAAGAUGAUUGUACAUUAUACACGAAAAACCAACUCCUGACAUUGUAUUGCCAAUAUUAUGGCUUAUAUAUUUAAUGAAGGUUGUGAUGAAGUCGCAUUUUCCCUCACUAUCUCAAAACAUCUAAUAAAAGGCACCGACAUUACAAACUAUAAAAAACCUUUGCAUCAACAAUCUCGUACAUAUCGUUUACAAUUUAUUCCGUACAAUGCAGGUGUAUAUAUGGCGAUCCCAUGAACUGGUCUAGGAGGACCCGUGGACCGGAAAGCAUGAAGUGUUCGACCGGUCGAUAUUUUGCUUCAGCCGUUGAUCAACCGAUCGAACCAUUCUUCAGCCGGUGGCGCACACGCUACUGGAUGAGAGAGGGUGGAUUUUGGCACCCUCGUCCGGAAAUAGACCGGUCGAUCAGUUUCGGUCGACCGGUUCCUGGAGGAUAGGACACGCUACUGGAUGAGAGAGGGUGGAUUUUGGCACCCUCGUCAGGAGAUAGACCGGUCGAUCAGUUUCGGUCGACCGGUUCCUGGAGGAUUGGACAUGCUACUGGAUGAGAGAGGGUGGAUUUUGGCUCUACAUCCGUCUUGCGACCGGUCGACUAUAUACUGUCGGCCGGUUUGCACGAUACACUUGCAACCUAAAAAGUGUUUUUUUUUUUAUAAAUAUGUAAUAAAAUUUAAAAAUCUUUUUUAAAAUUUUUUUAUAUAUUAAAAAAUUAUUUAUAAUAUUUUUAUUAGAUAAACAUCAUAAAAACACUUGAAAAGUAAUUAUAUUAAAAACAUUUUUUAUUAAUGUAUUAGCUCGUAUAAAGAAGGGGCUCAAAUUAAAGUAAGAGGUUAUUUUUAAAUUUGGACAAAAUUUUAAGAAAUGAUAAAACAAUAUACAAAUUAUUAAUACUUAAUUUUUUUAGAAAACAAAUGAUUUCUUUUCUUAAAUGCUAAUUUGUCAUAUAGUGGAUUUUUUAACUUUGGAAAAAUUUAAACAAUAAAUCAAUGGAAAAAAAAUUAACUUUUGAAAAUUUGAUGUUUUCUCAAAUGCUAAUUUCUCAUAUAUAGUGGAAUUUUGAAUUUUGAAAAAUAAAAAAAAUACAUAAAUGGUAAAAAUAAAAAAUGAAAAAAUAUAAGAUUUGAUGGUAAAUAUUAGCUAAGUUGAAAUUUGAAUAAUUUUAUUAUUAUUGUUAUUAAUUUUAUUCAUAAAAAUGAGUUUGUAAAUAUACAAAUGAUAUAUGAUUAUGACUGCAUUCAAAAAAAAUAUAUUUUAUAUUUCUUUGUAAGAAAAACCAAAAUUAAAAAUUUGACAUUUUUGUUCCUUUGUCCCAUAAAUUUUUGGACUUGAAUGGAAUAUAAAUAACCCAUUUAAAAAGACAUAAUCAUAAUGGAGAGAAGUGAAUAGACUCUCCAACUUCAACAUAUAUGAAUACAAAAUUAUUAUUUUUUAAAAAUUACCAUUAAAAUCAGAUUUCUCUAAAACCUACAAAUCAAAAUGGAUUUUCCGGGGAACCAAACAGACCUAAGGACCACCUGAUUCUAUGUUUCGACUUAUUGAUCAUAGAAUGGAUUCCCUUAGCCAAUAUAUCUUGUAGCACCUGUGGGGAGGGGAUGGGUUGGAAGUAUGUGCCAAGGGAGAGGUACUUUUAUCUAAAUGUCAUACCAAUUCUUUAUAUAUAUAGCCUGAAAUGCCCAUUUCAUCAAUGGGUGGGCCAAAAAGCCCAUCAAUUCGGUGAAUUUAAAAAACACACGUGCUACAAUGAUCGGAAUAAAGGGUCGUGAUCUUGUAAGGAUAAAUUAACUUCAAAAACAUUUGGAUAACAAGUUACAACUUAUCUGCAUGAAAUUGGAAUUACUGGUAAUCACUGAUCCGUAAUACGACAUUAAACUAGAUUAAUUUAAGACAAAAAAAUAUUUUAAAAUUCAUUGACUUAAUUGGAUGAAAAAUUAAUAGACUAAUUUGAAUCUAAUUUGAUUGAAGCAUAAUAAUUUUUUAAAUAAAACUAAGAAUUAUUUAAAUAUAAAAAAAAAUUCCAAACACAAAGGAAUUAAACAGGUUUCCUAAAUGUAUAUUUUUUUUUUUCCAAUGAAUGAAAAAAAAAAAAAAUGAAUGCAUUAUAUUAAAAAGUGCAAAACACCGUGGAACAUGUUACUGAGUCAACCGGUUCAUAUCCGGUCGGCCGGGGUGACGUUUAAAAAACCAUUCCGCGCUUAAUUUCUUCAGUGUUAUCCUUUGCCAGUCGAAGGGAUCCGCCGAUUGAGCUGCCACACACCCACUUUCGACGCGAUUCCAGCUGUUGCAAGCCUUCGGAGUGAGUUUUGAGGGGUGCGGCUUCACAUUUCGGACCUAGGGCGUGAGGUUUGGCAGUGGUCCUCCUUCAUCGCGCGUCACAGGCGAUUUGUCUUCUCUUCCCGCGCGCGUCACAGGCUCUUUGUAGUGUUUUGACAUAGGUGUGGCCCUUUGUAGUGUUUCAUGGCGCCUAGGAGAGAUAGGGGUGCGUCGAAGGCACUGGGUAAGCGCCCUGCUCAGGCUUCUCAGGACGGUUAGUCGGAGGCUCGCCGAAAGGCGAGGUUCGACACCGACCUUUUCACUUCGGUCGACGAAUACCAGAGGUACAAGCAGCAUUUCGUCUAGAGGAAGGUGGUUGCAGGGAGAAAUAUAAAUUUCGCCCAUCUACAACAUUUCGGGUUUGAGAGCCUCUUUGCACGCAUGGGGUGGCUGCCCUUAGUGACUAUUUCAGAGCCCAUUUUUCCGACAUUAGUCAGGGCAUUCUAUUCACGCAUGACAUAUGGACAUGGAGGACCGAUCACUUCGACCGUUAGAGGGGUUCAGAUCCAUCUGGACCCGGAGAGCAUCUGCCGCAUUUUGGACAUUCCUCCUGGUGGACUCAGAGUAUAUGAUGCCAAGGCCUGGCCGACGGUAGCGGGUUUCAAUCCGAGAGAGGCAAUUCAGAGGAUGUGCGGCCUUACAGAUGCCCCGGGGUUGGGCAAACCAUCGGCACAUAGCCUGACAGUGACCUGCCGAGUCCUUCACCACAUGAUAGCGUACAUCUUCCUACCACGUGGCGGUCAUCGAGAUGAGGUUUCCUAUCUGGAGGCAUUCCUGAUUGAUUCGAUUAUGACGGGGAGAUGUAUUGACGUCGGGUAUGUCAUGAUGAUGCACAUGAUGGCAUGCUGCGAGAGGCUCAAACGCAUUCUCCCAUAUGGCCACUUCAUGACACGAGUGUUCAAGGAUGCGGGGGUGGAUUUGAGCAGGGAGCAGGAGGUCGAGGCGCCCAGCAGUUAUGACACAUAUGAUGAGCAGUCGAUGGCGCGGAUGAAGUUGGAGAAGGCCCCAGAUGGGUCAUGGAUUAGGAGGGUGGACCGACCAGUACCACAGCCACAGGCAGAGGGGGAUGUGCAUCCUGCAGGAGACGAAGAUGAGGAGAUUGGGGAGAUGGAGGGUGGGGUACACCCUCAGACUGAUUUUAACCAUAGAGAGCCUGAGUUUGAUAUCCCUCCACUCCAAUCUAAGGGUGGCCACAUUGACCCGACUAUUUCAGAUGCGAUGAUGACUAAGACGGGUUACACAGCGGGACCAUCUGGUCAACCAUCAUUUACUGAGCCUCAUUACACCCAUACAUCACCUGGCCAGGCUCCUGACGCCCAUGAGCAUGCGCCUUGGAUGGAGUUGUCUGCGCAGAUUAGCUCACUUGGGACUCGUAUUGAGGAGCGCAUGGAUCAGCAGCAGGCUACGUAUGAGCAUAUCCUACAGAGGCUUGAUCGCCAAGAGCGUCAGCAUGAGGAGUUGAUGGCGUACCUCCGCGCCGUGUUCCCACCGCCACCCGAUGCACCUUGAUUGCAUUGAGACCACGUCGUUAUUUUGUUUGUGUUGCAAAACUGGGACAUAUAUAUUUUGUAUUAGCAUACGUUUAUUUAGAGUAGUGUUAGCAUGCAAAUGUUUUUGAUUUCGUUUUAAUUUGGAUUCAAUAUAUAUAUAUAUAUAUAUAUAUUAUGCUAUUUACUUUAUUAUAUGUUGUUUAGUAAUAUUUACAAGAUCGCCAAGUCAUCUCAUCCAUAUUAGGAGGUACUGAACUUUAACCUUCGGCGAAUUACCUAAGUCCAUGAGUAAGCAAUGAACAACUCAUCAACUUGGAAGGAGUUAGACCUUUUAUGCAAUUUAUCACACACCCAAAUGUGUAAUGAAAGUGAAGUAGACUUGAAUGUUCAAAAUAAUUAAGACACAUAAAUAUAAUAGUAAAGGGUUACCAAAAUCAUAAAUAUAAAUGAAAUAAUAUAUUGUUUCAUAAUGUCAUGUUUUUCAAGGCUCCAUUGUAAUGAUGUAUUAGAUAAGUUUGAACUAAUCCCACAUUACCAAUAUUAGUCAUGUCAUUGCAUUGUUUAACAAGUUGAUUUUCUUAGAACAUCCAAUAUAAGAAAAAAUAUUUCAUUCUCUCAUGAAAUGUGAGUUCUCAAAAUAGUUUUAGAACUGAUAAAAUUUUUGAAUUAAUAACUUUGAAAAAAAUUAACAUAUUUGCAUAUUUUGUGUCUCUUUUAAUAGUGAGAUGGCAUAAAAUUUUGGAAUUAAUCCGGUCGACCGGUUCCCAGCGACCGGUCUACAUUAGGUCACCGCAAUUGAUAUGAAGGAAAAUUUGCAACAACCGGUCGACCGGUUAUGAUAGUCCGGUCGACUGGUUACCUGUAUUACUCUUUAAUUAGUAAGUUAAAAUUCUUAACAAACAUGAUUAAUGUAUUUAAUGUCUUACUAGAAUUAGCAAGUACAGAAAUUCUUCAGCAAACUUGGAGAACAACAUGAAAUGAGAAUGAACCAUUAUUUGUCCAACAACCAAUAUAAACGGAGGAAAAACAAAAUUUAGCCUCUCUCACCAGGGAAUAGAUCCUCCCUUUUUCUUUCCAGCCCUUCUCCCAUCUUCCAUCUUUCCCAUCCUUCGUGCACAUUAAGCUCGGUUAAUAACCAAGCUUAAUGAAGGUAUUUUUCUGGGUCUGAGACUCUUCUACCCAGUCCUACAAUUAAUAAUGUACAAUGAUUUCAAAAGGGGUUUGAUCACCUUACGGAUAACUGAAUUCGGUAAUGUAUUCAUGCAUUUUCAGAUCUUUAAUAGACUUGCUAUUGUCCUAGCCUAAACAUCUUAUUACUUGAUGUAUUAUGUUCUAUAUAGCCUAAACAUCUUAUUACUUGAUGUAUUAUAUUUUUUUU
Molecule: long non-coding RNA, 12422 nt
Filed under: Vitis vinifera (wine grape)
Lineage: Eukaryota; Viridiplantae; Streptophyta; Magnoliopsida; Vitales; Vitaceae
Description: long non-coding RNA (VVIN_LNC006243)
Source: RNAcentral